AACGCUAGCUACAGGCUUAACACAUGCAAGUCGAGGGGCAGCAUUAUCGAAGCUUGCUUUGAUAGAUGGCGACCGGCGCACGGGUGAGUAACGCGUAUCCAACCUUCCCCAUAGUCAGGAAUAGCCCGGCGAAAGUCGAAUUAAUGCCUGAUGUUUUCCACGGACGGCAUCCGAUGUGGAACAAAGAUUCAUCGCUAUGGGAUGGGGAUGCGUCUGAUUAGCUUGUUGGCGGGGUAACGGCCCACCAAGGCAACGAUCAGUAGGGGUUCUGAGAGGAAGGUCCCCCACAUUGGAACUGAGACACGGUCCAAACUCCUACGGGAGGCAGCAGUGAGGAAUAUUGGUCAAUGGGCGGAAGCCUGAACCAGCCAAGUAGCGUGAGGGAUGACUGCCCUAUGGGUUGUAAACCUCUUUUAUAAGGGAAUAAAAUACGGGACGUGUCCUGUUUUGCAUGUACCUUAUGAAUAAGGACCGGCUAAUUCCGUGCCAGCAGCCGCGGUAAUACGGAAGGUUCGGGCGUUAUCCGGAUUUAUUGGGUUUAAAGGGAGCGCAGGCGGUCUUAUAAGCGUGACGUGAAAUGCAGCGGCUCAACCGUAUGAUGUGCGUCGCGAACUGUGAGACUUGAGUGUAUUCGAUGUCAGCGGAAUUUGUGGUGUAGCGGUGAAAUGCUUAGAUAUCACGAAGAACUCCGAUUG
RNAcentral lists this ribosomal RNA (695 nucleotides) under uncultured bacterium. RNAcentral's name for it is "bacterial SSU rRNA". It matches the Rfam family "Bacterial small subunit ribosomal RNA", at positions 32 to 715 of the family's 1533-position model. The record is from RNAcentral.